RNAcentral lists this ribosomal RNA (423 nucleotides) under uncultured bacterium. RNAcentral's name for it is "bacterial SSU rRNA". It matches the Rfam family "Bacterial small subunit ribosomal RNA", at positions 28 to 478 of the family's 1533-position model. The record is from RNAcentral.
GAUGAACGCUGGCGGCGUGCCUAACACAUGCAAGUCGAGCGAUUCUCUUCGGAGAAGAGCGGCGGACGGGUGAGUAACGCGUGGGUAACCUGCCCUGUACACACGGAUAACAUACCGAAAGGUAUGCUAAUACGGGAUAACAUAAGAAAUUCGCAUGUUUUUCUUAUCAAAGCUCCGGCGGUACAGGAUGGACCCGCGUCUGAUUAGCUAGUUGGUGAGGUAACGGCUCACCAAGGCGACGAUCAGUAGCCGACCUGAGAGGGUGAUCGGCCACAUUGGAACUGAGACACGGUCCAAACUCCUACGGGAGGCAGCAGUGGGGAAUAUUGCACAAUGGGCGAAAGCCUGAUGCAGCAACGCCGCGUGAGCGAUGAAGGCCUUCGGGUCGUAAAGCUCUGUCCUCAAGGAAGAUAAUGACGGUAC